This 71-nucleotide transfer RNA is filed under the name Planctomycetota bacterium. RNAcentral describes it as "Planctomycetes bacterium tRNA-Gly". It matches the Rfam family "tRNA". Rfam says of the family: Transfer RNA (tRNA) molecules are approximately 80 nucleotides in length. Their secondary structure includes four short double-helical elements and three loops (D, anti-codon, and T loops). Lineage: Bacteria; Pseudomonadati; Planctomycetota. RNAcentral also lists the same sequence under 1 other name. The record is from RNAcentral.
GCGGGCGUAGCUUAAUGGUAAAGCACCAGCCUUCCAAGCUGGCUAUGCGGGUUCGAUUCCCGCCGCCCGCU